Molecule: ribosomal RNA, 253 nt
Filed under: uncultured bacterium
Lineage: Bacteria
Description: partial 16S ribosomal RNA
Rfam family: Bacterial small subunit ribosomal RNA
Source: RNAcentral
UACGUAGGGGGCAAGCGUUGUCCGGACUUAUUGGGCGUAAAGAGCGUGUAGGCGGCCAAGCAGGUCCGCUGUGAAAACUCGAGGCUCAACCUCGAGAUGUCGAUGGAAACCGUCUGGCUAGAGUCCGGAAGAGGAGUGUGGGAUUCCUGGUGUAGCGGUGAAAUGCGCAGAUAUCAGGAAGAACACCUAUGGCGAAGGCAGCACUCUGGGACGGUACUGACGCUGAGACGCGAAAGCGUGGGGAGCGAACAGG